This is a long non-coding RNA of Folsomia candida, 544 nucleotides long. RefSeq lists it as uncharacterized. The record is from RefSeq and is a predicted model, not a curated record. NCBI's taxonomy places the organism in Eukaryota, Metazoa, Arthropoda, Collembola, Entomobryomorpha, Isotomidae. The transcript has 2 exons.
GAAAAAAUUAAUAACUGACAAAUCUUUGCGGUUUAGUCUCGCACAACCACAAAUUAUGCAAAUAAUCAAAAGUGUAAAUGACUAAAUAAUAUUCCAAAAUUCUAAGAUUCCAAAAUUAAAAAAAGACAAUUUUGUAAUCUAAUUCAGAGCUAAUUUCUUAAUUAAUUAACUAAUUACUUAUACAUGUCAUAUAGUUUAUACUCAGGAUCAGAAACUGUAGAAGAAAAAAAAAUAUGUAAAUAAUUAACAUGUAAAUGACAAAUAUUUCAAUUUUUUAGAUUAAACAAACUUUGCAGAGUAUAUAACUCUGCGCUCAGUAUUUCGUAUAAAAAUUUGCAGUGUGGACUCCACCUCAUGCUCUGAAACGGUCGAGAAUCUCAGAAAACAUGACGACAUCACGAUAAUGACGACCACGCCGAGACAAUCCAGCAUCAGCGUGACGUAAUUCAGGCGCACAUUUGUUACCAUAAUUAUGAAAAUAAUAAUUUAUCAUAAUUAAAUAUAAAUUAAUAUUCAAUAUUUAUAAUAAACUAAUAUUCAAGAA